This 1510-nucleotide ribosomal RNA is filed under the name Helicobacter pylori. RNAcentral describes it as "bacterial SSU rRNA". It matches the Rfam family "Bacterial small subunit ribosomal RNA". The record is from RNAcentral. Lineage: Bacteria; Pseudomonadati; Campylobacterota; Epsilonproteobacteria; Campylobacterales; Helicobacteraceae.
UUUUAUGGAGAGUUUGAUCCUGGCUCAGAGUGAACGCUGGCGGCGUGCCUAAUACAUGCAAGUCGAACGAUGAAGCUUCUAGCUUGCUAGAAUGCUGAUUAGUGGCGCACGGGUGAGUAACGCAUAGGUUAUGUGCCUCUUAGUUUGGGAUAGCCAUUGGAAACGAUGAUUAAUACCAGAUACUCCCUACGGGGGAAAGAUUUAUCGCUAAGAGAUCAGCCUAUGUCCUAUCAGCUUGUUGGUAAGGUAAUGGCUUACCAAGGCUAUGACGGGUAUCCGGCCUGAGAGGGUGAACGGACACACUGGAACUGAGACACGGUCCAGACUCCUACGGGAGGCAGCAGUAGGGAAUAUUGCUCAAUGGGGGAAACCCUGAAGCAGCAACGCCGCGUGGAGGAUGAAGGUUUUAGGAUUGUAAACUCCUUUUGUUAGAGAAGAUAAUGACGGUAUCUAACGAAUAAGCACCGGCUAACUCCGUGCCAGCAGCCGCGGUAAUACGGAGGGUGCAAGCGUUACUCGGAAUCACUGGGCGUAAAGAGCGCGUAGGCGGGAUAGUCAGUCAGGUGUGAAAUCCUAUGGCUUAACCAUAGAACUGCAUUUGAAACUACUAUUCUAGAGUGUGGGAGAGGUAGGUGGAAUUCUUGGUGUAGGGGUAAAAUCCGUAGAGAUCAAGAGGAAUACUCAUUGCGAAGGCGACCUGCUGGAACAUUACUGACGCUGAUUGCGCGAAAGCGUGGGGAGCAAACAGGAUUAGAUACCCUGGUAGUCCACGCCCUAAACGAUGGAUGCUAGUUGUUGGAGGGCUUAGUCUCUCCAGUAAUGCAGCUAACGCAUUAAGCAUCCCGCCUGGGGAGUACGGUCGCAAGAUUAAAACUCAAAGGAAUAGACGGGGACCCGCACAAGCGGUGGAGCAUGUGGUUUAAUUCGAAGAUACACGAAGAACCUUACCUAGGCUUGACAUUGAGAGAAUCCGCUAGAAAUAGUGGAGUGUCUGGCUUGCCAGACCUUGAAAACAGGUGCUGCACGGCUGUCGUCAGCUCGUGUCGUGAGAUGUUGGGUUAAGUCCCGCAACGAGCGCAACCCCCUUUCUUAGUUGCUAACAGGUUAUGCUGAGAACUCUAAGGAUACUGCCUCCGUAAGGAGGAGGAAGGUGGGGACGACGUCAAGUCAUCAUGGCCCUUACGCCUAGGGCUACACACGUGCUACAAUGGGGUGCACAAAGAGAAGCAAUACUGCGAAGUGGAGCCAAUCUUCAAAACACCUCUCAGUUCGGAUUGUAGGCUGCAACUCGCCUGCAUGAAGCUGGAAUCGCUAGUAAUCGCAAAUCAGCCAUGUUGCGGUGAAUACGUUCCCGGGUCUUGUACUCACCGCCCGUCACACCAUGGGAGUUGUGUUUGCCUUAAGUCAGGAUGCUAAAUUGGCUACUGCCCACGGCACACACAGCGACUGGGGUGAAGUCGUAACAAGGUAACCGUAGGUGAACCUGCGGUUGGAUCACCUCCUUUCUAGA